MicroRNA precursor from Equus asinus (donkey), 109 nucleotides. Lineage: Eukaryota; Metazoa; Chordata; Mammalia; Perissodactyla; Equidae. The record is from Ensembl.
UACUAAGUGUCCCCCACUGGAGCUCUAGACUCUGCCUUGUGCCACCAAGUUCUCUACUCACUUGGGCCCGAAGCACAUGCAGAGACUGGCAAGGUACCCGUUGGAGAAG